AAUAUUGUACAAUGGUGGUAACCCUGAUCUAGCCAUGUCGCUCGUGUGAAGAAGGUCUUCGGAGUGUAAAGCACUUCUAGUUGGGAGGAAGGGCUUUAGGUUAAUACCCUGCUGUCUUGACGUUACCAACAGAUUAAGCACCUCCUAACUAUGUUCCAGCAGCCGCGGUAAUAUAGAGGGUUCAAGCGUUAAUCGGAAUUACUGGGCGUAAAGCGCGCGUAGGUGGUUCAGUAAGAUGGGUGUGAAAUCCCCGGGCUUAAUCUGGGAACUGCUUUCAUAACUGCUGAGCUAGAGUACGGUAGAGGGUAGUGGAAUUUCCUGUGUAGCGGUGAAAUGAGUAGAUAUAGGAGGGAACACCAGUGGCGAAGGCGACUACAUGGGCUGAUACUGACACUGAGGUGCGAAAGCGUGAGGAGCAAACA
This 422-nucleotide ribosomal RNA is filed under the name uncultured bacterium. Its description in RNAcentral is "partial 16S ribosomal RNA". It matches the Rfam family "Bacterial small subunit ribosomal RNA", at positions 360 to 774 of the family's 1533-position model. The record is from RNAcentral.